RNAcentral lists this ribosomal RNA (465 nucleotides) under Vreelandella stevensii. RNAcentral describes it as "partial 16S ribosomal RNA". It matches the Rfam family "Bacterial small subunit ribosomal RNA", at positions 338 to 795 of the family's 1533-position model. Lineage: Bacteria; Pseudomonadati; Pseudomonadota; Gammaproteobacteria; Oceanospirillales; Halomonadaceae. The record is from RNAcentral.
CCUACGGGUGGCUGCAGUGGGGAAUAUUGGACAAUGGGGGCAACCCUGAUCCAGCCAUGCCGCGUGUGUGAAGAAGGUCCUCGGGUUGUAAAGCACUUUCAGUGAGGAAGAACGCCUGGUGGUUAAUACCCAUCAGGAAAGACAUCACUCACAGAAGAAGCACCGGCUAACUCCGUGCCAGCAGCCGCGGUAAUACGGAGGGUGCGAGCGUUAAUCGGAAUUACUGGGCGUAAAGCGCGCGUAGGUGGCUUGAUAAGCCGGUUGUGAAAGCCCCGGGCUCAACCUGGGAACGGCAUCCGGAACUGUCGAGCUAGAGUGCAGGAGAGGAAGGUAGAAUUCCCGGUGUAGCGGUGAAAUGCGUAGAGAUCGGGAGGAAUACCAGUGGCGAAGGCGGCCUUCUGGACUGACACUGACACUGAGGUGCGAAAGCGUGGGUAGCAAACAGGAUUAGAUACCCGUGUAGUC